RNAcentral lists this transfer RNA (67 nucleotides) under Crioceris duodecimpunctata (spotted asparagus beetle). RNAcentral's name for it is "tRNA-Ser". Lineage: Eukaryota; Metazoa; Arthropoda; Insecta; Coleoptera; Chrysomelidae. The record is from RNAcentral.
AAUUAAUGAACUUGUUUAAGUGUAUACCUUGAAAGUAUAAAAAAGAAGAAUAACCCUUCUAUUAAUU